Molecule: ribosomal RNA, 1315 nt
Filed under: uncultured bacterium
Lineage: Bacteria
Description: bacterial SSU rRNA
Rfam family: Bacterial small subunit ribosomal RNA
Source: RNAcentral
GAAUCAACGCUGGCGGCGUGCCUCAGACAUGCAAGUCGAACGCGAAAGUCCCUUCGGGGAGCAAGUAGAGUGGCGCACGGGUGAGUAACACGUAGGUAAUCUACCUUCGGAUGGGGAAUAACAACCGGAAACGGUUGCUAAUACCGCAUAAUGCAGCGGCACCUAAUGGUGACAGUUGUUAAAGCGGGGGAUCGCAAGACCUCGCGUCUGAAGAGGAGCCUGCGGCAGAUUAGCUAGUUGGUAAGGUAACGGCUUACCAAGGCGAUGAUCUGUAGCCGGCCUGAGAGGGCGGUCGGCCACACUGACACUGACAUACGGGUCAGACUCCUACGGGAGGCAGCAGUCGGGAAUUUUGGGCAAUGGGCGAAAGCCUGACCCAGCAACGCCGCGUGAAGGAUGAAAUCCCUCGGGAUGUAAACUUCGCAAGAACAGGAAGAAUAAGUGAGAGUUAAUAUCUCUUACGAUGACGGUACUGUUUGUAAGCUCCGGCUAACUCCGUGCCAGCAGCCGCGGUAAUACGGGGGGAGCAAGCGUUGUUCGGAUUUACUGGGCGUAAAGGGCGCGUAGGCGGCCACCGCAAGUCGACUGUGAAAUCUCCGGGCUUAACUCGGAAAGGUCAGCCGAUACUGCGGGGCUAGAGUGCAGAAGGGGCAACUGGAAUUCUCGGUGUAGCGGUGAAAUGCGUAGAUAUCGAGAGGAACACCUGCGGCGAAGGCGGGUUGCUGGGCUGACACUGACGCUGAUGUGCGAAAGCUAGGGGAGCGAACGGGAUUAGAUACCCCGGUAGUCCUAGCCUUAAACGAUGAAUGCUUGGUGUCUGGGGUUUUAUAGUCCCCGGGUGCCGUCGCUAACGCUUUAAGCAUUCCGCCUGGGGAGUACGGUCGCAAGACUGAAACUCAAAGGAAUUGACGGGGACCCGCACAAGCGGUGGAGCAUGUGGUUUAAUUCGACGCAACGCGAAGAACCUUACCUGGGCUAGAAUGCCUCUGACAACCCUAGAGAUAGGGCCUUCUGGGUAAAACCAGACGGAGUGCAAGGUGCUGCAUGGCUGUCGUCAGCUCGUGUCGUGAGAUGUUGGGUUAAGUCCCGCAACGAGCGCAACCCUUAUCAAUAGUUGCCAGCGGUUCGGCCGGGCACUCUAUUGAGACUGCCGUUGACAAAACGGAGGAAGGUGGGGAUGACGUCAAGUCCUCAUGGCCUUUAUGUCCAGGGCUACACACGUGCUACAAUGGCAAGUACAAAGCGCUGCAAACCUGUAAAGGGGAGCCAAUCGCAAAAAGCUUGUCUCCAGUUCGGAUUGGAGUCUGCAACUCGA